UGCCAGCAGCCGCGGUAAGACGAACCGGACAAACGUUAUUCGGAAUUAUUGGGCUUAAAGGGUGCGUAGGCGGUGCGGUAAGUCGGGUGUGAAAUCCCUCGGCUCAACCGAGGAACUGCGCCCGAUACUGCCGUGCUUGAGGGAGACAGAGGUGAGCGGAACUGAUGGUGGAGCGGUGAAAUGCGUUGAUAUCAUCAGGAACACCAGUGGCGUAAGCGGCUCACUGGGUCUCUUCUGACGCUGAGGCACGAAAGCUAGGGUAGCGAACAGGAUUAGAUA
RNAcentral lists this ribosomal RNA (279 nucleotides) under uncultured bacterium. RNAcentral describes it as "partial 16S ribosomal RNA". It matches the Rfam family "Bacterial small subunit ribosomal RNA", at positions 506 to 784 of the family's 1533-position model. The record is from RNAcentral.